UACGUAGGUGGCAAGCGUUGUCCGGAAUUAUUGGGCGUAAAGCGCGCGCAGGCGGCCUCUUAAGUCUGAUGUGAAAGCCCCCGGCUCAACCGGGGAGGGCCAUUGGAAACUGGGAGGCUUGAGUAUAGGAGAGAAGAGUGGAAUUCCACGUGUAGCGGUGAAAUGCGUAGAGAGUGUGGAGGAACACCAGUGGCGAAGGCGACUCUUUGGCCUAUAACUGACGCUGAGGCGACGAAAGCGUGGGGAGCGAACAGGAU
RNAcentral lists this ribosomal RNA (257 nucleotides) under uncultured bacterium. RNAcentral describes it as "partial 16S ribosomal RNA". It matches the Rfam family "Bacterial small subunit ribosomal RNA", at positions 524 to 778 of the family's 1533-position model. The record is from RNAcentral.